UCUCUCGUAGCUUAAUGGUUUAAGCAUUGGUGUAUAAAGCGAAAGGUCCCGGGUUCGAUUCUCGGCGGGGGCG
This 73-nucleotide transfer RNA is filed under the name Agrilus planipennis (emerald ash borer). It matches the Rfam family "tRNA". Rfam says of the family: Transfer RNA (tRNA) molecules are approximately 80 nucleotides in length. The record is from Rfam by way of RNAcentral. Lineage: Eukaryota; Metazoa; Arthropoda; Insecta; Coleoptera; Buprestidae.